UACGGAGGGGCCGAGCGUUGUCCGGAAUCACUGGGUUUAAAGCGUCCGUAGGCGGGACAUUAAGUCAGGGGUGAAAUGUUGCAGCUCAACUGCAGAAUUGCCUUUGAUACUGGUGUUCUUGAGUUAUGUUGCUGUGGUCGGAACAUGUGGUGUAGCGGUGAAAUGCAUAGAUAUCACAAAGAACGCCGAUUGCGAAGGCAGGUCACAAGGCAUGUUCUGACGCUGAGGGGCGAAAGCGUGGGGAGCGAACUGG
Molecule: ribosomal RNA, 253 nt
Filed under: uncultured bacterium
Lineage: Bacteria
Description: partial 16S ribosomal RNA
Rfam family: Bacterial small subunit ribosomal RNA
Source: RNAcentral